RNAcentral lists this ribosomal RNA (423 nucleotides) under Borrelia miyamotoi. Its description in RNAcentral is "bacterial SSU rRNA". It matches the Rfam family "Bacterial small subunit ribosomal RNA", at positions 49 to 477 of the family's 1533-position model. Lineage: Bacteria; Pseudomonadati; Spirochaetota; Spirochaetia; Spirochaetales; Borreliaceae. The record is from RNAcentral.
UUAAGCAUGCAAGUCAGACGGAAUGUAGUAAUACAUUCAGUGGCGAACGGGUGAGUAACGCGUGGAUAAUCUACCUACGAGAUGGGGAUAACUAUUAGAAAUAGUAGCUAAUACCGAAUAAAGUCAAUUAAGAUGUUAGUUGAUGAAAGGUAGCCUUUAAAGCUUCGCUUGUAGAUGAGUCUGCGUCUUAUUAGCUAGUUGGUGGGAUAAGAGCCUACCAAGGCUAUGAUAAGUAACCGGCCUGAGAGGGUGAUCGGUCACACUGGAACUGAGAUACGGUCCAGACUCCUACGGGAGGCAGCAGCUAAGAAUCUUCCGCAAUGGGCGAAAGCCUGACGGAGCGACACUGCGUGAACGAAGAAGGUCGAAAGAUUGUAAAGUUCUUUUAUAAGUGAGGAAUAAGCUUUGUAGGAAAUGACAAAG